RNAcentral lists this long non-coding RNA (666 nucleotides) under Lepisosteus oculatus (spotted gar). RNAcentral describes it as "lncRNA (ENSLOCG00000021598.1)". Lineage: Eukaryota; Metazoa; Chordata; Actinopteri; Semionotiformes; Lepisosteidae. The record is from RNAcentral.
ACAGUUAGUUGCCGUCUAAUCUUUUUAACUACUGCUUUUGGCUGUAAGAAAGGGGCAGACAUGUACAAUCUUCUUAUUCCAAAUUUGUAGUUUGAUCUUUCGCAUUGCUUGUGAGUUCUCACAAUGAAUUCUUGGGUAUAGACCUCAUGGAACAGGAAUGCACUUGCCUUCUGCAUUUCGAUCCUGUUUCAGCAUGUUACAGCGAAAAAGCCUGGUGGAAGAUGAAGCACAGUGAUUGUUUGUUCAGGCAUGAGACGACACAGAACUGCGUAAGCAGGGGGAUUGUUAUUGAUCCCGAUGAAGCAAGGCCUGACCUGUACACAUCUUGAGAGUGGCCUCAGCUGUACCAUCUCAGAGGGAUAGACGUCUUUGUCAGGACUGCCAAUACACAUCCGCUACAGGAGCAAAGGUGAAUCAAAAUGUCCAAUCAUCUUUCCUGAAGACCACAUUUGGCUUACUUUUACAUUUUUUGGAAAGCAGAUUAAGCCUUUUCCUUUAAAUCUUCAUUGUGUGAGAAAUGAACCAACUGCAAUUGUUACAGUUUAUAAUUUCACUGUUUUGCAUAUGACAAAGAAAAAUCAGAAAUUUGUGAUAAUAGGGCUUUGUAAUCAAGUUGUGCUUUGUACGAGAAGCAGUGAGAAAUUUGAGGAUCAGUGUAUAAUAAAU